CUACCCUCUCCUGGCUUUACUCGAUAACAAACUUACCAAACUUCAUACAGUCUUUAUCACCUACACCUCGCCCGCACUCGGCCAAAACCCGGAACCGAUUUCUCCUUCCACCGGAAGUCAUUGCCCUGUCCCGACCACAUUUCUAGUCGGGCCCUUGUGGCCGAGGCACCGCUGGCAAGGAGCGCUCCGCCCUCCCGGAUGCGGUCGCUAUGGUAACCAGUCUUUGCUUCCAAGGAGUUCUAAGCGUGGUAAUCAUCAGUGAAAAUUCAUGAAUUUGAGCAAGGCAGUGCACUAAGCAGGAGAGACAAAGAGUUGCUGGAGGAGUGCACAGAAAAGCGAAUCUGAACAUGGCCGCUCGAGGAGUGUUCUUGGCAGACGGCAGUGAAGCCCUCAAACCUGAAGAUACACCCUGUGAAGCCGACGUUUAUGUUUCAACAGGAGAGCCCUUUUUAGAUCCAUUCAAAAAAAUUAAAGGUUUUAGAUACUUGCACAAUGAGAAUGAACCUAAAUUCGCCAGCCAGAUAUCUUUAUGAUUUGUAUGGCAGAACAAUUAAAGAUAUUUCAAAAGGUAAGUGACAAAGAUUUUAUUAACUCUAUGAUAACAUUUCAAAAGGCAUUACAUAAUUUUGUUUUUACUUUGUAUAUUUAAAAGGAAAACAGCUAUAAUAAAAGUGUAGUUUUAACAUGUCUAAAUAUGUCA
RNAcentral lists this long non-coding RNA (700 nucleotides) under Ursus maritimus (polar bear). Its description in RNAcentral is "lncRNA (ENSUMAG00000024849.1)". The record is from RNAcentral. Lineage: Eukaryota; Metazoa; Chordata; Mammalia; Carnivora; Ursidae.